Molecule: ribosomal RNA, 1345 nt
Filed under: uncultured bacterium
Lineage: Bacteria
Description: bacterial SSU rRNA
Rfam family: Bacterial small subunit ribosomal RNA
Source: RNAcentral
GACGAACGCUGGCGGCGUGCUUAACACAUGCAAUUUCGAACGGAAAGGCCCUGCUUGCAGGGUGCUCGAGUGGCGAACGGGUGAGUAACACGUGGGUGAUCUGCCCCUUACUUUGGGAUAAGCCUGGGAAACUGGGUCUAAUACUGGAUAGGACCAUGCUGUAGGUGGUGUGGUGGAAAGAUUUUUUCGGUAAGGGAUGAGCUCGCGGCCUAUCAGCUUGUUGGUGGGGUAAUGGCCUACCAAGGCGUCGACGGGUAGCCGGCCUGAGAGGGUGGACGGCCACAUUGGGACUGAGAUACGGCCCAGACUCCCACGGGAGGCAGCAGUGGGGAAUAUUGCACAAUGGGCGCAAGCCUGAUGCAGCGACGCCGCGUGGGGGAUGACGGCCUUCGGGUUGUAAACUCCUUUCAGCUAUGACGAAGCCCUGUGGGGUGACGGUAGUGGUAGAAGAAGCACCGGCUAACUACGUGCCAGCAGCCGCGGUAAUACGUAGGGUGCGAGCGUUGUCCGGAAUUACUGGGCGUAAAGAGCUCGUAGGUGGUCUGUCGCGUCAUUUGUGAAAGCCCGGGGCUUAACUCCGGGUUGGCAGGUGAUACGGGCAUGACUGGAGUACUGUAGGGGAGACUGGAAUUCCUGGUGUAGCGGUGAAAUGCGCAGAUAUCAGGAGGAACACCGGUGGCGAAGGCGGGUCUCUGGGCAGUAACUGACGCUGAGGAGCGAAAGCAUGGGUAGCGAACAGGAUUAGAUACCCUGGUAGUCCAUGCCGUAAACGGUGGGCGCUAGGUGUGGGUUUCCUUCCACGGGAUCCGUGCCGUAGCUAACGCAUUAAGCGCCCCGCCUGGGGAGUACGGCCGCAAGGCUAAAACUCAAAGGAAUUGACGGGGGCCCGCACAAGCGGCGGAGCAUGUGGAUUAAUUCGAUGCAACGCGAAGAACCUUACCUGGGCUUGACAUGCACUGGAUGCGGCCAGAGAUGGUUGUUCCCUUUGUGGCUGGUGUGCAGGUGGUGCAUGGUUGUCGUCAGCUCGUGUCGUGAGAUGUUGGGUUAAGUCCCGCAACGAGCGCAACCCUUGUCUCGUGUUGCCAGCAUUUGGUUGGGGACUCGCGGGAGACUGCCGGGGUUAACUCGGAGGAAGGUGGGGAUGACGUCAAAUCAUCAUGCCCCUUAUGUCCAGGGCUUCACACAUGCUACAAUGGCUGGUACAGAGAGUUGCGAUACCGUGAGGUGGGGCUAAUCUCGUAAAGCCAGUCUCAGUUCGGAUUGGAGUCUGCAACUCGACUCCAUGAAGUCGGAGUCGCUAGUAAUCGCAGAUCAGCAAUGCUGCGGUGAAUACGUUCCCGGGCCU